Molecule: long non-coding RNA, 694 nt
Filed under: Homo sapiens (human)
Lineage: Eukaryota; Metazoa; Chordata; Mammalia; Primates; Hominidae
Description: HSALNT0247035
Source: RNAcentral
CUAAUUUUUGUAUUUUUAGUAGAGACGGGAUUUCACCAUGUUGGCCAGGCUAGUCUCGAACUUCUGACCUCAAAUGAUCCCCUACCUUGGCCUCGCAAAGUGCUGGGAUUACAGGCAGGAGCCACUGUACCCGGUGCCCUAUUAUUGCUUCUUAACGAGGCCCAAAGAAAAAUUACUCAUACCAGUUUAGUUCUAGCUCUGCCAUAAAUUAGUAAAGUGUGACUUGGGACAAAUCCCCCACCUCUUUAACAAUUUUUAUUUUUUUAGACAGAAUCGCAUUAUAUUGCCUAGGCUGGAGUGCAGUGGCUAUUCAUAGGCAUGAUCAGAGCACACGACAGCCUAUAGCCUUGAACUCUUGGGUUCAAGCAAACCUCCCUCAGCUUCCCAAGUAGCUGGAACUACAUGCAUGCAUCACAUGUCCAGCUCUCCAUUAUUUGUUCUCAGCUUAAGGUCUCUCAUCUAUUCUCACUCGUCCUAGAUCAUCCUAGAUGAUCCCUAUAGUCCCCGUGAUUCUAGAAUACACUAUUUACAGAUACUGGCUUAGAUCAAUCCAGGGUACUGCCUAUAACAUGUGGCUUUAGGGUUAAAAUCAAGUCAAGGAUGUUCCUUUGUUAAGACCUCUGAAAGAUUUAAACUACUGCCCUCCUGGAUCCUCUUAGCUAGACAAAAGGGCUUCUAAAACUCUAAAUGGCAU